This 612-nucleotide ribosomal RNA is filed under the name uncultured bacterium. Its description in RNAcentral is "bacterial SSU rRNA". The stretch from base 1 to 521 matches the Rfam family "Bacterial small subunit ribosomal RNA", at positions 338 to 873 of the family's 1533-position model. The record is from RNAcentral.
CCUACGGGAGGCAGCAGUGGGGAAUAUUGGGCAAUGGAGGAAACUCUGACCCAGCGACGCCGCGUGAGGGAUGAAGGCCUUCGGGUUGUAAACCUCUUUCAGUAGGGAAGAAGCGAAAGUGACGGUACCUACAGAAGAAGCACCGGCUAACUAUGUGCCAGCAGCCGCGGUAAUACAUAGGGUGCAAGCGUUGUCCGGAAUUAUUGGGCGUAAAGAGCUCGUAGGUGGUUCGAUACGUCGGAUGUGAAAAUCAGGGGCUCAACCCCUGACCUGCAUCCGAUACGGUCGAGCUAGAGUUUGGUAGGGGAGACUGGAAUUCCUGGUGUAGCGGUGGAAUGCGCAGAUAUCAGGAGGAACACCGAUGGCGAAGGCAGGUCUCUGGGCCAAUACUGACACUGAGGAGCGAAAGCGUGGGGAGCGAACAGGAUUAGAUACCCUGGUAGUCCACGCCGUAAACGGUGGGCGCUAGUUGUGCGAACCUUCCACGGUUUGUGCGACGCAGCUACGCAUAAGCGCCCGCCGUCGGGAGGUACGAGCGCGAAGAAUUAAACUAACAAAGGAAGUUAGACGGCGUGAGACGNGCCGAACGGACGACCGACCGAGGGAGGUAGG